Molecule: ribosomal RNA, 355 nt
Filed under: uncultured bacterium
Lineage: Bacteria
Description: bacterial SSU rRNA
Rfam family: Bacterial small subunit ribosomal RNA
Source: RNAcentral
AGAGUUUGAUCAUGGCUCAGGAUGAACGCUAGCUACAGGCUUAACACAUGCAAGUCGAGGGGAAACGAUAUUGGAAGCUUGCUUCCGAUAGGCGUCGACCGGCGCACGGGUGAGUAACGCGUAUCCAACCUGCCCACCACUUGGGGAUAACCUUGCGAAAGUAAGACUAAAUACCCAAUGAUAUCUCUAGAAGACAUCUGAAAGAGAUUAAAGAUUUAUCGGUGAUGGAUGGGGAUGCGUCUGAUUAGCUUGUUGGCGGGGUAACGGCCACCAAGGCGACGAUCAGUAGGGGUUCUGAGGAGGAAGGUCCCCCACAGUUGGAACUGAGACACGGUCCAAACUCCUACGGGAGGCA